This is a non-coding RNA of Lactuca sativa (garden lettuce), 1233 nucleotides long. The record is from RefSeq and is a predicted model, not a curated record. Lineage: Eukaryota; Viridiplantae; Streptophyta; Magnoliopsida; Asterales; Asteraceae.
UUUGAGCUCUACCUCUUAACGCCUUUCUCCGGUAUAUUCAACUUCCUCCCACCCUGACUUUCACUUUCCCUUUCUUCUCUCUACAAACCCUAAUUGUCGCCACUACCAACAUCGAUCACCUCAUCCGCCACCACCAUCACGGCUUACCGCAGUCGCCCACCUCAUUACGAUUGUCAAUAUGCUUCAUGGUCAAUGGAGUAUCUCCUGGAGUUUCUCUUCAAGCCUUUGAUUAUCCUUCGACUACUCACUCUUUCUUUGUUGCAAAAGCUAUGGUAUUGAAAUUGUCUCUCAUUCAUGUUGGUAUUGAAAUUAUCACUAAUUCACUUUCUCCAAUGCUCUCUAUUUGUUACAAAAAUGAGAUAUUCAAAUCUAUAAUUUCUUUGCUCACUUUCUAUUGCUAAAUGAUGGCUUUGAAACUCUCUGUUUACAUUUACUUUGAUUUCAUUGUUACUGAUUCUUGUAGGAGGUAUAUUAUGAUUAAGAUUCAAGACAUUGGGAUUGUAAGUUUUCCAUUUUAAAUUAAGAAUAAAAUAGUUCGCUCCCUAAUGGUCUUACUUGUAACAUUUGUUAAUUUGUAGUUGAGUUUUUUUUGGUGGUAGGAUUGUUUCAUGUAUGAGAAACAAUGUCUAGGUUUGAGUAUAAAGGAUUCAAAAUGGAAGGCUUUGAGUGCCCUAAACAUUUAGCAAAUGUUAGUUUUAUGUUUGAUUUCCUGGGUUUUGAUUAUUCUGCUCAUAUCAACACAUGUAGCUAGACGAUGAUGUUCUUGCAAAUAAAUGGUGUUGCCUGAAAACAUUUUGAUGGUAGUUUUGCUGAGUGGGUUUUUAAGGUUCAAGAAUAGUUAAGAAAAGUUUUAGAAGAAAUCAUUUAGAGAGGGAUGAGCAUAUGGAUCGGGGAAUCGGUACCGGAACCCGAUGGAACCGGUCGGGCCGGGAUCGGGAGGUUAUUUUUGUGGAUUUUUGAAACCGAACCGUUAGAACCGGCAAAAACCAGAAUUGUAUGAUGCUAUUUUUCGAGGACCGGUUCCAAUAUUUGAAGACACGACAAGAUCCGGUAGGAACCGGGAACCAGUAGAACCGGCGGUCCGUUCGGUUCCUAUUUUCAAUCAAGUUCGGUUUCCGGGCCGGUUCCAACCGGGUCGGUUCCUUUGCUCAUCCAUAGAUUAUGUAUUGGUCCAAUAAAAAAUAUAUGGAUGAUUAAUAUUAAAUAUCCAUCGGCUAAAAUUUAUUCAUCAAA